This 570-nucleotide ribosomal RNA is filed under the name Scheffersomyces stipitis. Its description in RNAcentral is "eukaryotic LSU rRNA". It matches the Rfam family "Eukaryotic large subunit ribosomal RNA", at positions 23 to 600 of the family's 3401-position model. The record is from RNAcentral. Lineage: Eukaryota; Fungi; Ascomycota; Pichiomycetes; Serinales; Debaryomycetaceae.
ACCCGCUGAACUUAAGCAUAUCAAUAAGCGGAGGAAAAGAAACCAACAGGGAUUGCCUUAGUAACGGCGAGUGAAGCGGCAAAAGCUCAAAUUUGAAAUCUGGCACCUUCGGUGUCCGAGUUGUAAUUUGAAGAAGGUAACUUUGGAGUCAGCUCUUGUCUAUGUUCCUUGGAACAGGACGUCACAGAGGGUGAGAAUCCCGUGCGAUGAGAUGUCUGAUUCUAUGUAAAGUGCUUUCGAAGAGUCGAGUUGUUUGGGAAUGCAGCUCUAAGUGGGUGGUAAAUUCCAUCUAAAGCUAAAUAUUGGCGAGAGACCGAUAGCGAACAAGUACAGUGAUGGAAAGAUGAAAAGAACUUUGAAAAGAGAGUGAAAAAGUACGUGAAAUUGUUGAAAGGGAAGGGUUUGAGAUCAGACUUGGUAUUUUGUAUGUCUUGCUUUCGGGUGGGGCCUCUACAGUUUACUGGGCCAGCAUCGGUUUGGACGGUAGGAUAAUGACAUUGGAAUGUGGCACCACUUCGGUGGUGUGUUAUAGACUUUGUUGAUACUGCCUGUCUAGACCGAGGACUGCGU